GGCUCAGGAUGAACGCUGGCGGCGUGCUUAACACAUGCAAGUCGAACGAAGCACUUUGAUCGAUUUCUUCGGAUUGAAAUUUUAGUGACUGAGUGGCGGACGGGUGAGUAACGCGUGGGUAACCUGCCUCACACAGGGGGAUAACAGUUGGAAACGGCUGCUAAUACCGCAUAAGCGCACAGUACCGCAUGGUACAGUGUGAAAAACUCCGGUGGUGUGAGAUGGACCCGCGUCUGAUUAGCUAGUUGGCAGGGUAACGGCCUACCAAGGCGACGAUCAGUAGCCGACCUGAGAGGGUGACCGGCCACAUUGGGACUGAGACACGGCCCAAACUCCUACGGGAGGCAGCAGUGGGGAAUAUUGCACAAUGGGGGAAACCCUGAUGCAGCGACGCCGCGUGAGCGAAGAAGUAUUUCGGUAUGUAAAGCUCUAUCAGCAGGGAAGAAGAAAUGACGGUACCUGACUAAGAAGCACCGGCUAAAUACGUG
Molecule: ribosomal RNA, 488 nt
Filed under: uncultured bacterium
Lineage: Bacteria
Description: bacterial SSU rRNA
Rfam family: Bacterial small subunit ribosomal RNA
Source: RNAcentral